Long non-coding RNA from Panicum virgatum (switchgrass), 1912 nucleotides. RefSeq lists it as uncharacterized. Lineage: Eukaryota; Viridiplantae; Streptophyta; Magnoliopsida; Poales; Poaceae. The transcript has 2 exons. The record is from RefSeq and is a predicted model, not a curated record.
CCGCAAAAAGACCCUUUUGUUCAAAUGCCACCACUGUCGCCGUGCAGGUCGGGAAGAUGGUCGGGCUCGCGGUGGGUGGAACCAUCAUGCUCGACGCGCUAUUCGCCGGGCCAGUGUUGGGGUGUCGAUGAACCUGGGAAGGGAACAUCGGGCCGGCGCUAGCGGGGAGCAAGUACAAGGCCAUGUGGGUACACAUCGUCGGGCCUUUCGCCGGCGCGGUGGUCGGGGCGUGGCGUACAACCUUGUCCGCCGCACCGAUAGGACCCUCGGAGAGAUGACCAAGAGUGCCACACCAGCCGCGAAUUGAUCAACAAUGAGCUACUACGACGGAUCUCAGAGCGGAUUGGAGUCCGAUCGUGCCCACGCUCCUCUCUACUUGCCCGGUAUGUUAGUAUGUAUACGACCAUUUCCCUCGAUAAAAUAAUGCAUCGUUCUCGCUUUAGUGAUCUCUUUCUACCUUUAAUUUUGCAAUCAGAGUGCGCUCUUUGAAAUUUGAAUAUCUGACAAAGCACAGAUAUUCAAAUCGUGCGUGUCAUGUGCGUUCCAUAGGCAGCAGUGCACAUACUGUAAUUAUAGGCAACUUGCCGACGAUUUGGUAGCUUGCCUGCUCAUGCCACCCAAUUAGUUUUGUUAACUUGCUCAUCUGCAGGUCACGCCGAUGGCAUAAACAAAACAAGGGUCUGACAAAACUCUAUGUGGACCAUGCGCUGCUUUCUCACUAUUAGCAUGGGAAAAUGGCAAACGGUUUACUGUGUAGUAGGUGAUGACUGCUGAAGGUAGCAUGGUUAAUUAAUGGAUGGCGACAUGCCGACAUGUGUGCUGUUUGACUGUUAGGAGGAUAGAAACCACAGUUGUAGUAGCACUGAAGCCACAAAUUCUGCUAGAGAUGUGCAGCUGAGCUGGAUGCUCUCUUGAUUGCACGCAUAGACAUGGGUUUAAUUUAGACCAUGUCACAUAAAAAAGAAUCUUAGCAUCUAAAAUUAUUAAAUAAAAUCUAAUUACAAAACUAAUUGCAGAAUCUUGAGACUAAACUACGAGACAAAUCUAAUGAGGUAUAUUAAUCCAUAAUUAAUGAAUGAUUACUGUAGCAUUAGUGUAGCAAAUCAUGAAUUAAUUAGGCUCAUUAGAUUCAUCUCGCGAAUUAGCACCCAUCUGUUAAAAAAAUUAUAAAUAAAUUUUAUUUAAUACUUCUAAAUAGUAAGAUUUCUUUUGAUGUAAUAGGAGCUAAAAAAAGCCUCCGAAAACAAACAGCACCUUACUUUCACACAUGUUGUUUACAUGCAACCAUAUUUUUGCGAAGGCAUUACUUCUCGUGUAUAUUGACUUCCAUAUAAUGUAUAAGUUUUAUUGUAGUCACUAAUAAGUUCUGGAUAAUUACCAAAGUAUAUCAUUGUUAUUUUAUUUGCAGUCCCUCAUUCAUCAAUAACAGAUGAACUUAUAGGUUAUAUAUUUCCUCUAACCAGGAUGUUUCUUGUGUUGUAUUUACCAAAUUGGCAAAGCGCACAGGGAAGUGAUAUGCAAUGGUUCUAAUGGAGAUGACAAAGGAUUAUUUGUUUCUUGUGUUGUAUUUUUCUCUUGUAAGUGGAGUUGAAUUCCAUUGACAGCCACAUAACUAGCCAUGUCAGCAGCCACGUCAUCCUCCAUAUCAUGCUGCGCCAUGGCAGCUGGCUCCUGCACUCCGCUACCACUGGCACAUCCUCUUCCAUUGCCGUCGAGUUGGCGGGCAUAGCUUGUCAAGCCUUGCCUCCACUAUGUAAGAAAAUAUAUAUAGUGACGGGCAUCAUCUCCCUAAGGUGACGGGCAUCGUGCCGGUCAUUUCUUCGGCGUCACUGUUUAGAAUAAAAAGGUGACGGGCGUCUGUGUUGAUGCUCAGUAAUGACCAAUUCUAGACGUCAACUUGAUCAGAAAAUCA